Molecule: ribosomal RNA, 737 nt
Filed under: fungal sp.
Lineage: Eukaryota; Fungi
Description: eukaryotic LSU rRNA
Rfam family: 5.8S ribosomal RNA (bases 240-393)
Source: RNAcentral
CAUUACUAGAGCAAAGGAUAGACAGCGCCCGCGGAGCUCGCUCCCGGGGCUACCCUACUCCCGUAGGGUUUAGAGUCGUCGGGCCUCUCGGAGAAGCUCGGUCCUGAACUCCACCCUUGAAUAAACUACCUUUGUUGCUUUGGCGGGCCGCCUCGUGCCAGCGGCUUCGGCUGUUGAGUGCCCGCCAGAGGACCCCAACUCUUGUUUUUAGUGAUGUCUGAGUACUAUAUAAUAGUUAAAACUUUCAACAACGGAUCUCUUGGUUCUGGCAUCGAUGAAGAACGCAGCGAAAUGCGAUAAGUAAUGUGAAUUGCAGAAUUCAGUGAAUCAUCGAAUCUUUGAACGCACAUUGCGCCCUCUGGUAUUCCGGGGGGCAUGCCUGUUCGAGCGUCAUUAUAACCACUCAAGCUCUCGCUUGGUAUUGGGGUUCGCGGUUUCGCGGCCCCUAAAAUCAGUGGCGGUGCCUGUCGGCUCUACGCGUAGUAAUACUCCUCGCGAUUGAGUCCGGUAGGUCUACUUGCCAGCAACCCCUAAUUUUUUUUAAGGUUGACCUCGGAUCAGGUAGGGAUACCCGCUGAACUUAAGCAUAUCAAUAAGCGGAGGAAAAGAAACCAACAGGGAUUACCUCAGUAACGGCGAGUGAAGCGGUAACAGCUCAAAUUUGAAAGCUGGCUCUUUUAGGGUCCGCGUUGUAAUUUGUAGAAGAUGCUUCGGGUGUGGCCCCGGUCUAAGUUCCU